Molecule: ribosomal RNA, 419 nt
Filed under: bacterium
Lineage: Bacteria
Description: partial 16S ribosomal RNA
Rfam family: Bacterial small subunit ribosomal RNA
Source: RNAcentral
UGGGGGAUAUUGUACAAUGGGCGAAAGCCUGAUGCAGCGACGCCGCGUGGGGGAUGAAGGCCUUCGGGUUGUAAACUUCUUUUGCUCUGAACAAGGCAUGCUAAUGGGUGUGUUGAGUGUAGGGGUUGAUUAGCGCCGGCUAACUACGUGCCAGCAGCCGCGGUAAUACGUAGGGCGCGAGCGUUGUCCGGAAUUAUUGGGCGUAAAGGGCUUGUAGGUGGCUGGUUGCGUCUGUCGUGAAAGCUCAUGGCUUAACUGUGGGUUUGCGGUGGGUACGGGCUGGCUUGAGUGCAGUAGGGGAGGCUGGAAUUCCUGGUGUAGCGGUGGAAUGCGCAGAUAUCAGGAGGAAUACCGGUGGCGAAGGCGGGUCUCUGGGCUGUUACUGACACUGAGGAGCGAAAGCAUGGGGAGCGAACAGG